UUCAUCAGUUGCCUCAUACUUUGGAUGGCUUCCAGCCGUGAGAGCGUUCCUCACGUCUUCGUAAUUCCUCUUCCAACACAAGGUCAUGUAUCUCCACUCAUGCAUCUCUCCCAAGCUCUCGCCUCGAGAGGCUUCGUCAUUACUUUUAUCAACACAGAGGCCAAUCAGGAGUGUAUGAAGAACACCUUGGAGGACGGCCAUGGCCUAGACAUUCGUUUUGAGACCGUUCCGGGCAUCCAAGGAACUGGUAUUGACUUAUCUCAUGACGAAGGCCGGCUCAUCUUCACUCAAGGCUUGAUCAACAUGGAAGGGCCAGUCGAGAAGCUGCUCAAGGACAAGCUAGUCAGCGCAGAUCCCCCAAUAUCGUGCUUGAUCUCCGACAUGCUCUUCAGGUGGCCGGAAGAUGUUGCCAGGAGAAUUGGAGUUCCAAGUUUUAUCUUCUGGUGCGCAAGUGCCUCUUGUAUUCUGCUCGAGUGCUCCGUUCCUCAGAUGUUCGAGAAGGGAGACAUACCUGUCAGAGAUCUCUCGAUCGACAAGUCAAUCACGUAUGUCCGUGGCUUGUCUCCACUGCCGCUAUGGGGCCUUCCUUGCGAACUAUCUUUCAGCGACGAUCCUGGUUUUACUCGCAGGUACAACAGAAUAAACCACGUCGCGACAGUGUCGGGGGUUUUGGUAAACUCUUUCGAGGAACUCGAGGGCAGUGGUGCAUUCCAGGCGCUGAGAGAGAUCAAUCCAAACACUGUAGCUGUGGGACCAGUGUUCCUUUCUUCGCUAGCAGACAACGCGAGCCUCUGGAAGGAAGACACAGAAUGCCUGACAUGGCUCAACGAGCAGAAGCCACAGUCGGUUCUCUACAUAUCCUUCGGCAGCCUCGGGACGCUCGACUUGGAACAGCUUAAAGAAAUACUAGCAGGAUUGGAGGAGCUCCAGAGGCCGUUUAUAUUAGCCAUUCGUCCCAAGUCGGUCCCAGGCAUGGAGCCCGAGUUCCUGGAGGCUUUCAAGGAGAGAGUGAUCAGCUUUGGACUGGUUGUGAGCUGGGCUCCUCAGCUGAAAAUCCUCCGGCAUCCUUCAACAGGUGGAUACUUGAGUCACUGCGGCUGGAACUCUAUUCUCGAGAGCGUAUCUUCGGCGGUGCCAAUCCUUUGCUGGCCGUGCGUUGCCGAGCAGAAUCUCAACUGCAAGCUUAUAGUGGAGGACUGGAAGAUCGGUCUUAAGUUCUCGCGCGUGAGAGAUCCUCGCAAGGUGGUGGCCAGGGACGAGUUUGUGGAGGUGGUGGAGCAACUCAUGGGAGCCGAGAGUGGCGAUUCCUUUAGACGUAAUGUGAAGGAGCUCAGCAAGGCGGCUCAGCGAGCAGCAGUGAAAGGAGGAUCGUCAUAUGAAAGUUUGGACAAGUUCGUCAAAGCUGUGGAAGUUUUAUAAGUGUAUAGGUGGCGUAAUGUUGAAGUAAGAGCUAAUCCAGAAGAGGUAAUGUGAGAAACGGCAGCAUAGUCCCUUCCUUCCAGAGCACUCAAGAACGGUUCUUCCCAUUCCAACCCAAGGCCACAUCACUCCACUCCUCCAUCUCUCCAGAGCGCUGGCGUCGCGAG
Molecule: RNA transcript, 1586 nt
Organism: Selaginella moellendorffii
Lineage: Eukaryota; Viridiplantae; Streptophyta; Lycopodiopsida; Selaginellales; Selaginellaceae
Gene name: linamarin synthase 2
Exons: 4
Source: RefSeq, a predicted model, not a curated record